GAUGAACGCUGGCGGCGUGCCUAAUACAUGCAAGUCGAGCGAACAGACAAUGAGCUUGCUCCUUUGACGUUAGCGGCGGACGGGUGAGUAACACGUGGAUAACCUACCUAUAUUACUGGGAUAACUUCGGGAAACCGGAGCUAAUACCGGAUAAUAUGUUGAACCGCAUGGUUCAAUGGUGAAAGACGGCUUUGCUGUUUCUUUUAGAUGGUUUCGCGCCGCAUUAGCUAGUUGGUAAGGUACCGGCAUACCAAGGCGACGAUGCGUAGCCGACCUGAGAGGGUGAUCGGCCACACGGGAACUGAGACACGGUCCAGACUCCUACGGGAGGCAGCAGUGGGGAAUGUGGGGCAAUGGGCGGAAGCCUGACGGAGCAAGGCCGCGUGAGUGAUGAAGGUCUUCGGGUCGUAAAACUCUGUUAUUAGGGAAGAACAAAUGUGUAAGUAAAUAUGGACGUCUUGACGGUACCUAAUCAGAAAGCAACGGCUAACUACGUG
This 497-nucleotide ribosomal RNA is filed under the name uncultured bacterium. RNAcentral describes it as "partial 16S ribosomal RNA". It matches the Rfam family "Bacterial small subunit ribosomal RNA", at positions 28 to 507 of the family's 1533-position model. The record is from RNAcentral.